UGCCUUCGUGAAGAACUCUCUCUACCUCUCUCUGUCAAUUAACCCUCCUCCUCUCUUCUCUGUGCCCGUGUCUUUUCCGCUUCAUUCUCUUAAAUCCCUUCAAUUCCUUCCCCAAUUUCACAAAGUGCCAUGGCUGAAUCACUGAAGCUUCUAAAUCACGUGCCGCGCAUGUACUUGUGAGAGAGGCCUUUCCCCUGUAUCUUUGACUGGGACCUUUGUCAACCCAUUGUCGCAGCUGGUGAUGCCAGUGAUGAGGGGGAUACGGUGCUCCGAUGUCUCGCUAGCGAAGUCAUUGGGAUUAAGGAUAUUCAAUGUGAAGUGGGUUUUGCCCAGAACACAGGAGUUCAAAACGCAGAGUUCAAAUUGGAAGGGUGAGAGAGAAAGGAGGAGGAGAGGGAUGGUUGCGGUGCGAUGGUGGUGAUCUGGUUCUUCAAGUUCCAUAUUUGUUUUUAUUUUGGAUGAUUUUAGAUACGGUUCCUAUUUAUCAACGUUCUUUGAUUUAAACAUUGUUGUUUGAUUUUUUAUUUAAAUCUUUAAAAUUAAUGCAAUAAUACAAUUCUACCUAGGUUAUUAUAAUUUUUAAAUUAAAAUUUGAUAUUUAUAGUUAUUUAUAUUAAUAAGAUUUUAAAUAAAAUUCAUAAUUUGUUGAAAAUAUUAAAAAGAAUUAUACUUAAAUAAAAUCUAUAAUUUGUCAUUAUUUAUAUUAAUGACAUUUUACAUAUAAAUAAUUGGUAAUUUUAUACUAUACAUUUUAUAUACAAAAAGUUGGUACAUUUUACAGAAAAAAAAGAUGAUACGAUACAUUUCAUAUGAAAAAACAAUGGGAUAUUUUCACGUGUCUUUAAUGAUCUUAAUUUAAAAUUCGGAAAGGAUCCACAUGUUUUCUCCUUUUCUUUUCCGCGUGACCCUCUCUUUCCCUUCCUCUCUCUUUCCUUUCCGCGUGACCUCUCUCUUUCCUCUCUUUCCCUUUUCUUCUCAAUUAUUUUCCACAUCUCUCUCCUUCACAUACUCUCUCUCUCUCUCUCAUCUUCUCUCUUCUUCUCCCUCAAACCGAAGCUUUCACUUCUCCUCUGCAACCUAAGACAAAUCACCAAAGUCGACGAACCGACGUUCAAAUUACCACCAUCGUACUCCUUUCAUCCUCACGAACUCAACCAUAUAGACGGAAUCAAGAACAAGUGAGUUUUGGAAGUCGAACUCGGAAGCUCCGAUCGGUUCGAAAUUUUCCCGACGAAUUUCCGGGCUAGUUACAAGGUUUUGGAAGGUUUAGAAGUCACCACACAACUCCCCAAGGUCGCUAGUACAAGUUUGAAGACAAGCGAAUGUGAAAAAGCACGAGUUCGAAAAAUUAAAGUUUGUGCCGUGAGGUUCCAAGCCAUUUUCAAACAAUUUAUCCAUAAAUAUAAAUAUAUCGAAUGUAACAUUUCUAACACUAAAUAAAUAAUUUAGAAAUAAAAUUUAAUUAUCUUAAUAUGUAAAAUAUUUUAUUAUUGAAAUAAUUAAUGGUGUUUAUUAAAAUCAAGAGACCUUGAUUAAAAAUUAAAAAAGAAUAAGAUUUUAAUCAAUAGAGUUGAAAAAAAGAGAGAUGAAAACCUAAUUUCUUUUUUUAUUUUUAUAUUUUAUUUUUAAUGUUGUUAGGUGAGUUAACAGAAUUUAAAGGGAAGUUAGUGGUAAACAGGCGUCAAAAUAUGAGAGGCCACGUAAAAUUUUGAAUGCAAAAGAUUUGAACUCGAAAAGGAAGGUGAGGUGAGCAGGUAUGGGAUAAUAAAAGAAACGCGCUUGGAAGUAGGUUUGGUCACUUCUCUCUCUUAAAUACUAGUGUUUGUACCCGACCCCACCAUCCCCCAUUUUUUAAAAUUUAAUCAAAAAAUUUGAUGUGUGUGAGAAAUAAAACAAGAUGUCUAGAUAUCACAUUUCUAUUUCUUUUAUUUGGCCUUGUCUAAGUGCGCGGAGGGAGGUCCCAUCCCAUGUGUCCCUUCUAUGGCCAUUUACCAUUGCCGUCCACUAGCACUAGCAAACUUCCUCCAUCAGGAGGAAAUUCCAUCUCUCUCUCUUUUAAGUCCUCCACUAGGGAUAUACUAUAACCUUUCUUCCGUUUGAAUGCAGAUUGUUUCUGCGCUGAAAGUGCGCAAUUUCGUCUUUAUAUUUUUUUAUGUUUUGUGUUGUUUUAUCUCUGAUGACUCUCUUGGAACACGCGUACAUUUUAUUUUAUUUUUUUCCUAAAGGCAAAUCAGAUAUAUUAAAUUCGAAGAGAAAGGUUAGCAUCAUGGGUCAGGGUGUUAAACAAAAAUUCUGGCCCAAUACAAUCCCAAACAAACUCUCUACCCUCCUUAAAAACAAACUUGGCCACCGAGUGAGCAGCAGGAUUGCUCUCUCUAGGCGCGAAGAUGAAAGACACGGCAUACAUUUUAUUGAAAGAUGCUUUACAGAAAAUGCUUUUGGACAAACUUCUCUUUUAAUUAAGCAUAUUUAAAAGAAAAUUUUAAAGCAACAGCAUUAUCAAUUAUAGAGCAUUAUCAAUUUCACAAAGUGCCAUGGCUGAAUCACUGAAGCUUCUAAAUCACGUGCCGCGCAUGUACUUGUGAGAGAGGCCUUUCCCCUGUAUCUUUGACUGGGACCUUUGUCAACCCAUUGUCGCGGCUGGUGAUGCCGGUGAUGAGGGGGAUACGGUGUUCCGGUGUCUCGUUAGCGAAGUCGUUAGGGAUUAAGGAUAUUCAAUGUGAAGUGGGUUUCUCCCAAAACACAGCAGUUCAAAACGCAAAGUUCAAAUUGGAAGGGUGAGAGAGAAAGGAGGAGACGGAUGGUUGCGGUGCGAUGGAGGUGUUCUGGUUCUUCAAGUUCCAUAUUUGUUUUUAUUUUGGAUGAUUUUAGAUAUGAUCCCUAUUUAUCAACGUUUUAAACUUUAUUGUACUAUUUUCUAUUGAAAUUCUUGAAAUUAAUGUAAUAAUACAUUUUUA
Molecule: long non-coding RNA, 2957 nt
Filed under: Malus domestica (apple)
Lineage: Eukaryota; Viridiplantae; Streptophyta; Magnoliopsida; Rosales; Rosaceae
Description: long non-coding RNA (MDOM_LNC004918)
Source: RNAcentral